Molecule: unclassified non-coding RNA, 176 nt
Organism: Chrysemys picta bellii (western painted turtle)
Lineage: Eukaryota; Metazoa; Chordata; Testudines; Emydidae
Source: Ensembl
GAGCCAGCUCUGAAGAAUGAAGACCUACUUUUAUUUAUUCUCAGAACAGGCACAGCAUAAGCAAUGGCAGAGCAAGUUUCUAGCACUGGCCUGCCAAUGUACCUCAACCCUGAGUGGAGAGACCACCUCUAGACACACCUGGGUGAUUUUUGGGCUUACUGCUGAGACAGGCAUUU